Molecule: ribosomal RNA, 525 nt
Filed under: Triticum aestivum (bread wheat)
Lineage: Eukaryota; Viridiplantae; Streptophyta; Magnoliopsida; Poales; Poaceae
Description: partial small subunit ribosomal RNA
Source: RNAcentral
AUGAGAGCUCCAGGAGGCCAUGAAAAAAGCGAGACCUUGGAGCAGAGUCUACCAGGGAAAGAAUUCGAACUUGCCCAAGCUCUCCAAGCCGCAAAUGAUGUUCGGGGGGAAGCCCGAGGUGCUUUGAAGGACAUUCAUGAGGCGAGGAGGAUUGCGGCUGGGGCGUUUGCCGACCUGCCAUGCAGCAUAUCUGAUGUUGCUCAAUUCUACCGGGCUAAGGAGAAGAAGUCUGUGGGAAAGCAUUUCUGGUCGAAGUAUUUGGCGCCGAAUUAUCCGGUGCCCUUUGUCGAUCAGCUGAAGCAGCUGAUAGAAUUGCACCAGGCGGCCGAACUAGCCAUGAAGGACUUAGUUGUCCGGCUGUGGCCCGCUGAGCCAAUUCCAAGCAGUUACUUCGGACUCGUGAAGCGGAUUGUUGGUGCUUGCCCUCGGCUCAAAGUCAUUAAGCGGUCGGUCUGUAUAGAAGGUGCACGCAUGGCAUUUGCCCGUGCGAAGGUGCACUGGGGAAGCUUGAUGCUGAAAAGCUGA